AACGAACGCUAGCGGCGCAUAUUAAGCAUGCAAGUCGAACGGUAAGGCUCCUUCGGGAGUACACGAGUGGCAAACGGGUGCGUAACACGUGGUUUAUCUGCCUAUCGCUUGGGGAUAACCUUCAGAAAUGAGGGCUAAUACCGAAUACGACCUACGGGUGAAAGAUUUAUCGGCGAUAGAGGAGACUGCGGCCCAUUAGCUAGUUGGUGGGGUAAAGCCUACCAAGGCGAUGAUGGGAGCCGGCCUGAGAGGGUGGCCGGCCACAUUGGGACUGAGACACGGCCCAGACUCCUACGGGAGGCAGCAGCUAAGAAUCUUCCGCAAUGGGCGCAAGCCUGACGGAGUGACGCCGCGUGAAUGAUGAAGGCAUUUAUGUUGUAAAGUUUCUUUUCUGUGCGAAGAAGGUUAUGCGUAGGCAUAAUUGACGGUAUC
RNAcentral lists this ribosomal RNA (432 nucleotides) under uncultured bacterium. RNAcentral's name for it is "bacterial SSU rRNA". It matches the Rfam family "Bacterial small subunit ribosomal RNA", at positions 29 to 479 of the family's 1533-position model. The record is from RNAcentral.